This is a non-coding RNA of Lolium perenne, 1939 nucleotides long. NCBI's taxonomy places the organism in Eukaryota, Viridiplantae, Streptophyta, Magnoliopsida, Poales, Poaceae. The record is from RefSeq and is a predicted model, not a curated record.
CUGAAAUCAGCACAUAUGGCACAAUUGUUUUACUGUGUGCUAGGCAGGUUACUGUGCUAUGUUAAUAUAUUUUUCCUUCAGUUUUUGGUAUUCAACUCUGUAUAUGUUAAUAUAUUUUGCCUCUAAAUGAAGGAAAUACACUUCAUUUAAUCCAGGACUGGAGUGACGCCGACGCCACUCUGAUGGUCACACUACUGCAUCUCGAGGUCGUACUAGGUUUAGUCAAAGUCAAACUUUAGAAAGUUUGACUAAAAAUAUAUGAAAAUAUACUAAUAUCUAAAAUAUAAAUUGGUACUAUUAGAAUCACCUUGAAAUGUACUCUAAUAUUAUAUAAUAAAUAUGUAAUCGUGGAUGUUGAUAUUUUUUGUAACAUCUUUGGUCAAACUUUAAAUUUCUUGACUUUGACUAAAGCCAAAACGAAGGGUAAAUAAAAACGGAGGGAGUGCAUUUUUCAUCAUUCUCUACUUACUUAUUUGAUGAAUACUUAUCAUUGUUUUGUAUUGAAUGACAGGUCAUGUGGUAUUAAACUAUUAAUGAUGAUUAAUAUUGGAUUUUACUAAAUGACUACUACAGAAAAAAUGGGCUUGCUUCUUGUGCGGGCAGGAAAAGUUCUUGUUCUUUCAUGAAAUGUGCGAUGGUGUUCAAUGUGUGCGAUGUUGUGUAAAUGCAAGCUUGAUAUAGAAUCUCUACGCGAUAUGCAUGUGAGUAUAUUUUGGUAUGGCUAUCUCUACUGAGCCCCUUUUUCCUUGUUCAUUGUGCAAUCACAAGGCAAAAAACAACCAGUCUAAAGGAAUGUAGCAUUUAGAAAUAAAGCACAUUGAAGCUUCCGGUAAUUUCCGGCAUUUUGAUUGCACCUCUGUCUGCACAAAAAUUAUGAAUCGUAGAUCUGUAGGUGUUUGUCCCUUAUUGCCUCCUUCUUACUUUCUACUCAAAGUCUGUAUCCUUUUGUGCAAUGCCAGAUAUUUCAUGAAAUAAAAAUGUUUAUAGGGCUUUCUACCAAGUAUCUGGAUCUUACCUUGGUAAUGGUCAGGUGCUAAUCAACAUCUCAUAAAGAACUUGCAUAGUCUCUUUGCCUUUUUGCUUCUGACCUAAAACUUGCUAAAACCACCCAAGUGUUGAGGAGCUUGCCUUCCAUGUGACAAGAAGGUAGCAUUUUUUAUCCAUGACAGUUAAACCACUCUAUGCAUGUGCCCUGCAUCCUUUAGAUGUUGCUCGCUGUUAUGACUAAAUAGGUUAAUAGUCGCUUGCAGCCAUGGAUCUUAGACUAUGAGUUUGGUUGCUGGUCCUAGCAUAGUUGUCCAUUAUUCUUAGCUACUGCUUAUUUAUGUUCAGAAAGAUUCAUUACUCAUUGGUUAGGCCUGUUGUGUCUUGGCUAUACAUAUUAUCCAAUGGCUCCUCUUACAUUCUCUAGGUGUACUUAUUAACUCACAGCUUAUCAUUGAUUUAUGUUAAUGCUUCACAUAUCAUUUACCAGUUGUUUACUAGUGCGAAUUACAGGGCAGCGCGGCAAGCCCGCGCUCUAUCUCAUUUCGGUUAAAAACUAGAAUGUGAGGUGGGCAUCUUUGAGCUGAAAGAAACUUGAUGGUCGAAGUCUUGCCAUCAGUAUAUUCAUAAACACAAUUACAUCCAUAGGUUCAAUAUGUUCGAUGUGUUUGCUCAACUCCUUCUUUGGUUCAUUAUCUCUACAGCGAUAUUGAGCCUGGUAAUCUACUUGUCAGAUAAGAAUAGUCUUAUAGUUUUUAGAUUGCUCGAAAUUCUUAACCUUGAACAAAAAUGCGCCUAUGCACAUUGAUUGAGCAUACAUGCUUCCUCGAGGCCAGAAUCUUUUUUCCUCAACAUUAUUAUUGAAUCAAAUGUUGACCUACGAAUGUAAUUGUCCUCUCUAUGGUGCGUCAGUUGUUUUUUCAAUGAUAUACUCUUUGGAUUACAUAAUUGUUUA